This 324-nucleotide ribosomal RNA is filed under the name uncultured eukaryote. Its description in RNAcentral is "partial 18S ribosomal RNA". It matches the Rfam family "Eukaryotic small subunit ribosomal RNA", at positions 1470 to 1796 of the family's 1831-position model. The record is from RNAcentral.
CCCUUAGAUGUUCUGGGCUGCACGCGCGCUACACUGAUGCGAUCAACAAGUUUUUCCUAUGUCGAUAGACACGGGUAAUCUUUUGAACUCGCAUCGUGAUGGGGAUAGAUUAUUGUAAUUAUUAAUCUUCAACGAGGAAUUCCUAGUAGGUGCAAAUCAUCAGUUUGCAUCGAUUACGUCCCUGCCCUUUGUACACACCGCCCGUCGCUGCUACCGAUUGGUUGAUCUGGUGAAUUAUUCGGACUGCCGGCUGAAGGGGUUUCCUCAUCUGCCAGCGGAAAGUCUUGUUAACCCUAUCAACUAGAGGAAGCACAAGUCGUAACA